GCGGCGGACGGGUGAGUAAUGCCUAGGAAUCUGCCUGAUAGUGGGGGACAACGUUUCGAAAGGAACGCUAAUACCGCAUACGUCCUACGGGAGAAAGCAGGGGACCUUCGGGCCUUGCGCUAUCAGAUGAGCCUAGGUCGGAUUAGCUAGUUGGUGAGGUAACGGCUCACCAAGGCGACGAUCCGUAACUGGUCUGAGAGGAUGAUCAGUCACACUGGAACUGAGACACGGUCCAGACUCCUACGGGAGGCAGCAGUGGGGAAUAUUGGACAAUGGGCGAAAGCCUGAUCCAGCCAUGCCGCGUGUGUGAAGAAGGUCUUCGGAUUGUAAAGCACUUUAAGUUGGGAGGAAGGGCAUUAACCUAAUACGUUAGUGUUUUGACGUUACCGACAGAAUAAGCACCGGCUAACUUCGUGCCAGCAGCCGCGGUAAUACGAAGGGUGCAAGCGUUAAUCGGAAUUACUGGGCGUAAAGCGCGCGUAGGUGGUUUGUUAAGUUGAAUGUGAAAGCCCCGGGCUCAACCUGGGAACUGCAUCCAAAACUGGCAAGCUAGAGUAUGGCAGAGGGUGGUGGAAUUUCCUGUGUAGCGGUGAAAUGCGUAGAUAUAGGAAGGAACACCAGUGGCGAAGGCGACCACCUGGGCUAAUACUGACACUGAGGUGCGAAAGCGUGGGGAGCAAACAGGAUUAGAUACCCUGGUAGUCCACGCCGUAAACGAUGUCGACUAGCCGUUGGGAUCCUUGAGAUCUUAGUGGCGCAGCUAACGCAUUAAGUCGACCGCCUGGGGAGUACGGCCGCAAGGUUAAAACUCAAAUGAAUUGACGGGGG
RNAcentral lists this ribosomal RNA (828 nucleotides) under Stutzerimonas stutzeri. RNAcentral describes it as "bacterial SSU rRNA". It matches the Rfam family "Bacterial small subunit ribosomal RNA", at positions 95 to 919 of the family's 1533-position model. The record is from RNAcentral. Lineage: Bacteria; Pseudomonadati; Pseudomonadota; Gammaproteobacteria; Pseudomonadales; Pseudomonadaceae.